RNAcentral lists this ribosomal RNA (253 nucleotides) under uncultured bacterium. Its description in RNAcentral is "partial 16S ribosomal RNA". It matches the Rfam family "Bacterial small subunit ribosomal RNA", at positions 524 to 776 of the family's 1533-position model. The record is from RNAcentral.
UACAUAGGUCACAAGCGUUAUCCGGAAUUAUUGGGCGUAAAGAGCGUGUAGGCGGCCAGGUAGGUCUGGUGUGAAAACUCGAGGCUUAACCUUGAGAUGUCAUCGGAAACCAUUUGGCUAGAGUCCGGAAGAGGAAAGUGGAAUUCCUGGUGUAGCGGUGAAAUGCGCAGAUAUCAGGAAGAACACCAAUGGCGAAAGCAGCUUUCUGGGACGGUACUGACGCUGAGACGCGAAAGCGUGGGGAGCGAACAGG